UGUUGUGAAAUGNUGGGUUAAGUCCCGCAACGAGCGCAACCCUUAUCCUUUGUUGCCAGCACGUAAUGGUGGGAACUCAAAGGAGACUGCCGGUGAUAAACCGGAGGAAGGUGGGGAUGACGUCAAGUCAUCAUGGCCCUUACGAGUAGGGCUACACACGUGCUACAAUGGCAUAUACAAAGAGAAGCGAACUCGCGAGAGCAAGCGGACCUCAUAAAGUAUGUCGUAGUCCGGAUUGGAGUCUGCAACUCGACUCCAUGAAGUCGGAAUCGCUAGUAAUCGUAGAUCAGAAUGCUACGGUGAAUACGUUCCCGGGCCUUGUCACACCGCCCGUCACACCAUGGGAGUGGGUUGCAAAAGAAGUAGGUAGCUUAACCUUCGGGAGGGCGCUUACCACUUUGUGAUUCAUGA
Molecule: ribosomal RNA, 411 nt
Filed under: endophyte bacterium EMA84
Lineage: Bacteria
Description: bacterial SSU rRNA
Rfam family: Bacterial small subunit ribosomal RNA
Source: RNAcentral